Molecule: long non-coding RNA, 23812 nt
Filed under: Gossypium barbadense (sea-island cotton)
Lineage: Eukaryota; Viridiplantae; Streptophyta; Magnoliopsida; Malvales; Malvaceae
Description: long non-coding RNA (GBAR_LNC010005)
Source: RNAcentral
CAUAACCAAACCUAAAAUUUAUUUAUUUCAUCCUUACAUUUAAAAUUUUAAAAUGACACACACAUAAGACAUCCUAGGUACAUGCCAUUACCCAUAAUUAACACACUUUACCUCAUUGAAUUUGGGAUCGGCCUGGGAUACUGAUUCAACGUUCUAUCUUUACUUAACCUGCGCACGGAAACAAACGUACGCUGAGUAUGGUAUACUCAGUGGUAUUUCCAUAAUCCGAACACUUAAUAACAUAACAAUUAAACUUAAAGUAACAAUAACAAUUAUAAGUAUUCAUUUAUUUAUUUUAUAGAUGAAUUUCAUUUACUUACCGUAUAAAUUCUAUACAAUAUAUUCACAAUUCACUUGUAUUCACACUUUACUUCUUAACAAUAUACCAUUUUAAUUCAUUCUAACAUCAAUCAUCAUCCAUUUGAACUUCACUCAUUUCAUGAACCUUUUGGUUCAUGUUUUCAAUCUCAUAUCUCAAUUUCAAUUCUCAAUUCAAUAUCUCAUUUCAUUCUAAUAGCUCAAUCAAUCAAAUUCACUCGAUUUAUCUUUUCACUUAUUUACCCCUAUUAACAAGACUCGGACUCUGAUAGAUACGCGGAUUCCUCCCAAACACACCAGAAUAUCCAACCCAAACACACCCGGAAUAUUAUAAAUCCUUCAUAACACACCAGUAUAUCAUAUCCUCCCAAACACACCAAUAAUGCAUUAAAUGCCUCUUCGGAUAAACCGAAGUAUAUAAUAACAGAAACAUCUUCUCGGCCGAACUACAAAUCUCCUCAUCACAUCACAAACCCAAUGGCAUGCCAUUUGUAUCCAAUCUGGUCCAAUACUGUUAAUAAGGUAUUUGAUUCACUUUCUCAAUUUAAUGAAUCUUUCAUCAAUAUACCAUUCUAAUAAUCACAUAUAUUCACACAUUUUCACAAUUUCAUACAUUUUCAUUCAAUUCAACAAAUAUAUUUCAAUUAUUCACAUUAAUUCAUAAUCCAAUACAAUUCAAUUCACUUUUCAAUAUCAAAUAUUCAAUUAUCACAAAUCUCAUAUAUUCAUAUCAAUUCCCUCAUAUUUCCAAUCAAUAUAAUUUUUCAAUAUAACAUUCAUUCAAUAUUCAAAUUUUUACAUAGAUCAUAUAUAUAUAUUAUAAUUUCAAUCAAUAUAAAUUCAAUCAAAAUGAUUUCAAUCAAUAUAAAUUUGAUAAAUUCAUCACAUACCAAAAUCAAUCCAUUUCAAUUGUAAAACAUCAUAAUUCUAACACUAACAAUUGUCAUAUGUAUAUAAAUAUAACAAAUAAUGACUGAGUUCGGAUUAUAGAAAUACAAACCGUAUUUUUCGAGCUUUUCCAAGCUUUUCCUCGUCGACUUUGCUAUUUCCUUACUUAGCCGAAACUUCUCGAGACAACGUUAGCUACGGAAAUUAAAACAAUUUAUAUUCAUUAAUUCACUACUAAUUUAUAUCUAAUUAAUUGAAUUUUCUAUUCAAUUUUCUACUUUAAUUUCAAUUUAAUCUUAACUAAUUUUCAAUUACGUUUCUAAUUCAAUUCACAUUCUAUUUCUAUUCAAAUUUCAUCCAUACUCUCAUUUAAAUAUUAAAUUUCCAGCAUAUUUUCCUAAUUUCAAAAUUUCAUCAAUUUAGUUCCUACAACAUAAAACUUAUAACUUACUUUACAAUUUGAUCCUAUUAUCAAUUCUAACUUGAAAUUCACUUAAUUAAACCCUUAAUUCACUAUUUUAUUCAACAUGAACUAUACUUGAAAAACUAUAAACUCUCAAAAUAUCAACUUAAUUUCAAUAAAACCUUGUUUUAAAGCUUCUAAAACAUCAAAUUUAAGAGGAAAUGACUUAAUUGACUUACCAAAUUAAACUUCAAGCAUCAAACCUUAUAUUUUCCCCUUUUUUCUUUCUUUUCUUUCUUUCCUUCCUUCCCUCUCUGUUUCGUUUCUACUAUUCUGUUUCUUCCCUUCUUCUCUUUUUUUUUCUUUUUGUUUUAUAUACAUAUAUAUAAUAUUAUUUAUACUUAAAUAAUAAGUAAUACUUAUUUAUUAUUUAUACAUGUGUAUAUUAUUAAUACAUGUGUAUCUAUUUAAAACCAUACAUUUGUCACUUUUCUUUUUUUUAAAAUUUAUUUAAUAAUAAUAGUUAAUAAUAAUUUAUAAUUUAUAAUUCAACAAUAAUCUAGAAAAAUCUUUAGAUUUUUCAUUGUUUGCCGCCUCAACUAUACUAAAUGGUCUAUUUUCCAUUUUGGUCAUUUUUAUUUUCUUUUAAUCUACAAUUCAACUUUUAUCCUUUAUUCAAUUUAGUCAUUUUCCUAAUUACUCUUAAUUAAGCUAAAUUCACUUAAUUAAACUCUAAGUAACCACUCUACUAACUUCAUAAAUAUAUAUAUUUUAAAAAUAUUUACUGAUCAAUUUUUCAGAAACGGAGACCCGAAAAUACAUUUUUCGAUAACCUUAAAGUUCGGGUCGUUACAUUUCUCCCCCCUUUUUAAUAAAUUUCGUCCUCGAAAUUUUCCUGAAAAGAGGUGGGGGUACAAAGAUCUCACUGUUUCUUUCGGUUCCCGUAUUGUUUCCUCAAUAUCAUGGCUUCACUUACUCAAGCGAGCAUCUCAACAGGCUUUUUCUCCAUACGAUAAAUCAUAUCAAAUCUCAUUAUUCUUUGUCGAUAUAACAUGUAACAAAUCUGAUCUAUAUCAUUUUCUGAGCUUCAAAUCAGGGAAAAUUAUCAUAAACUUUCUGUAACUUCAGAAGCAAAACCAAACAAUAUUUUACCGAUUUGACUUUUCUACAACUUCACAUAGCCCAACAGAAUAAGAACUCAAUUUCUUUUUCAACCCGAUCUUCAAAAUUUUCUUCCAAGGUGAAUCUUUAAGAAAUAUCAUAUCACUAAUAAAAUACUCAAUAUCCCAACGUUUCAAAUCCACAUAUGAUUCUUGUCUAUCAAAACUACUUUCAAUCUAUCUCGAAUCACUUCCACUUUUCUUCAAUUUCACGAAUUAAACAACUCUGCAUAUUCUUUUUCUCACUAUAUUUAAUCAGAUCCCAUGCAGUUUUACAUCAAUCAUUAUUCAGAACUUCAUACAGUGUUGAAAACUAUUAUUACACACCCAAAACUUCUUGUACUUGUUCUAUAAUCAGAGUGUAAACCACGUAUCUCAAUCAGAAAUAAUAGAAACCACCAUGCCAUGUAAUCUGAUAAUCUCAGAAACCUAUAUUUCAGACAAUUAUUGAGUAAGAAACUUAUUCAUACUAGAAUAGAAUAUACAAGCUUCACCAUACCUUCGAUGAUUACUCAAAUAUCAUCUUUCUUUUUCGAAGAUAGGGAUAAUUCUAACUCAGAUUCCAUAAAAAUUCUAUCCCAUUUUCAUUCUGACGUCACUACUGGUUGUAACAGUUCUGAAGAUAUCUGUAUCUGAUAUAAACAAUUAUAUAUAAAUUCAAAGUACUGCUUUUCUUUCCCAGUCUUCAACACAUCUGCCUCAAAUCACUGUACAUCUUAUUUCUUCCAGAAUGCAUAGACAUAGUACUGUUAUAAAUUUCAUGCAAAUUCUUUUGUCUAAGCUCUGAAUUCUUUAGUACAACUUCUAUUUCUAAAUAGUGUAGAAGCCCAAAUUGCCCGGGCCCGAUUAUAUCAAAACCCAACCAAACCUCUAAACCUACUAAAACCCUUAAACCAUGACCCAUUUACAUCUACCCAAACCCAUUACAAAACCCAAAUAUUAAACCCAAUUCAAAAGCCCAUUAAGCCCCCCCAAAAAAAACCUAACCCCCCCAAAAAAAACCUAACCCUCCCAAAAAUAAACCAAGAAACCCUAGCCACCUAGCCACUUUCCCACUUGCCCCAUUUUUCCUCCCAUUGUUGAUAUCCAUUAUCUACCACCACCACCUACAAAAUAGAAAAAGAAAUAAUAGAAAAUCAUGUAAAAGAUGGCUAUAAAAAGCCAUUCAAAAUCAAGUAAGGGGGGAUUUUACAAAGAUUGAAAAAAAAAACAAAAAUCCCUUCAAAUUUUGAACACAAAAGAAACAUCAAUAAAAAGGUUGCAUCUUUUUCUUUUUUCCUCUUCUUUCGAAUCUUUUUUUCUUUUUUUUGUGUUGUUUUUUUUCUUUCUUUAUUUAUACAUAUAUUGUUAAAAAAAGUUUACCUUUUCCGGCCACCGUGGGCGGUGGCCGGCGGUGGCCGACGACGGGCGGCGACCGACGAUCGACCGGUGACCGGCCCCCCUAGGCCGGAUUUCCUUUCCCCCCUCCCUUCUCUCUUCUUUCCCCCUUCUUUUUUUAGGUAUUUUAUAUAUAUUAUGUAUAUAUUUUUUAAUGCCAUUAGUUAUAUAUUUCUUAUGUAUAUAUUCUUAAAUACUAUUAUAUACAUAUAUAUAUAUUUUAAAUACCAUAUUGUGUAUAUAUUAUUAUUACAAAUUAUUACUAUUGCUAGUAUUAUUAUAACUAUUAUUAUAUUAGUGUAUAUUUUAUGUACAUAUGUAUAUAUAUAUAUUUUUGCACAUAUCAUUAUUUUAUAUUAUUGUUGUAAUUUUUUUAUAUAUAUAUUUUUUAUGUACGUUUCCUAAUAUUUUCUUUUAUUUUAGAUAUUAUUAUUACAUACUUUUAUUAUAUGCAUAUAUAUAUGUAUUUUUAUGUACAUAUUAUUAUUUUAUAUUAUUAUUACCAAAUAUAUCAUUUUUCCUAUUUUAUUAUUAGUACAUGAUUUGUUUUUAUUUUGUAAAUAUCAUUAUUAUUGUUAUUCUAAUAUUCUAGUAUUCCAUGUUAAUAUUUUUCAUUAAUGAUAUCAUUUUUUGCGUCCUUUAUCUAUUUUUAAUUUCUCACUUUAGGAAUAUUUUUUCUCAUAUUUUAAUUAAUUUCAAAAAUAAGGCAAUGUACCGAUUUAAUAUUAAGCCAUCGAUUUCAUCGCUAUGUUGGGUGAAAUUCGUCGACUUGUGUUAAUAAACGGGACACCAUUUCUUAAAAAAAAAAUCGAAAACUAAAAAUUCUCAUUUUUCAAUCGGAUCACGAUUAAAUAUUAUAUUGAACUCGUAUUUUUAAAAAUCAAGUCAACAAAUGUUUAUGAGAUACCAAUUUUGGGCGUUGCGAGGGUGCUAAUACCUUCCUCGCGCGUAACUGACUCCUGAACCCCAAUUUUUCUCUGAACUUUCACGUAGACCUAAAUUUGGCCUUCUUUUUGUUUUAAAAUAAUUUUAUUAGGUGUCCGAUCACACCUAUAAAAAAGGAUCGGUGGCGACUCCCUUUGCUAAUAAAAUCAAAAGUUGGUUUUCAAAUGUUUAAUAAAUCGCCACAAUUUGCGACCAAGCGAAACUAAUUUUUUUUUACGUCGCUACAGCUGGCGACUCCACUGGGGACCUCCAUUUUUGAGAGUCGGGUUGAAUUAAACGCGUGUUGUCAAAAUUUUCAAAUUUCCGUGUUCAAAUUAAUAUUUAAUCCUGAUCCUUAAGUUUUGUUUUCGAAAAAAUCAUACAUACGUAUCUCCUAAUUUGUUUUAUCUUUCGUUUUAGUUUUGUAGUUUUAAAAUAAAUGGAAGGAUUGCAAGUUUCUCCCACACACCGUGCACUUGCAUUUUGCAUAACAUAAGCUCUCUACCCGGGCUCUGUUCGUUUAAGUGAAAGUAAACGCUAUGCCUUCGUGAGUUAACUCGUCCCUCCGCACAGGCUAGUGAAUACUUUCGGGUUACAUAUGACUUAUGCUUUCAUGAGUUAACUUGUCCCUCCGCAUAGGCAUAAGUAAAUGUAAUCCCUCGAAUUGAACUCGUGAGCCUGUGAUGGGUUAUGACCGAGGCUUCGUGCUAAUCUUAGCAGAUGAUAGUACGAGCAAUUCGAGUACCUGUCUAGAACCAAAACCGUAUAUAGUGAACCAUACGAGCCACCCAACUAGAGCCAUGCCGAACUGCCGCUCGUUUAGUAGUCACCGAAAUAAGUACACGGGAAAAACACAUCUUACCUUCUAUUUCUUUUACAUUUGUGCUUUCUAAGCAAGGGAAUCGAGUCCACUGGACCAAGUAGCUUAAUUUGUUAGAUUUUCCACAGUUUUUCUCUGUUUAUAUGUGUUGCGCUAACCAAGGUCGUUUGUCUGUAUUUUUAUUUUUCAUCAUGCAUCGAAGGCAUCUUGUUAGGAAGGUGUUGAUUAGAGAUUGGUUGCCAAAAACAAGUUUCUAAUGGAGGAGUCAAUUAUACGAGUGACCGAAACAUUGUGUAAUACUUCUUUGAUUAAGGAAAUGCCUAAAUAGGGGCUAUCUUGAAAUUAACACCAAUUUUUUACAUAUUCAUUCAUGACUGACAUUCAUUUGACAUUCAUGCAUUCAUUCAUGCAUUCAUUCAUACAUUGCAUAUCCCAUACUCGGUCGCUGAAGAUAAAAUAUAUAAUUCGCAGUUGUAAUACCACAAGACUGGAACCACGUCAUCCGUAUAAAACGCGCCGACAAGCUAGAGUAAUGGAGGCUGAAUUCAAUGAGAGAAUUGAAAGGAUGGAAAGGGGCUCAAAAGGAAUUACAAGAGCAACUGGCCAAAUUGCAACAAGAAACGAGAGACCUAAUGGUGAGAUCUCGAGAGGAAUCACUCGAGCAAAUAGAUCAGAUGGCCAAAAUGAUGGAGAUGAUGACAACUUUGGUCAAAGGAAAAGGACCCGUGCAGAACCCCGACGUUAUGGAACCUCAGUCAAGAAUUCACCACUAUCAGGAUCCACUCUAUCCCCCGGGAUUCACUCCACUACCCGCAUAUACAACACAAAGAGGGUAUACUCAAGGGGAACCCACAGUCUUGGAACAACGACCUAUGCCACCUGCUCCACCCACUAAUCUGGGGCAAGGAAUAUUCGUGUCGAACCCAAGGGCAAGCCCUGCUGAUCCAUUAGUUCCAGAUCUGGACGACCCAAUAGAGGUAGCCAAGUUGAAAUUGGAUAAUCAUGAUGCAAAAUAUAGAAGUCUAGAGGAAAGACUCAAAGCAAUAGAAGGCACUGAAGUCUUUCCGCACUAGGUGCCAAAGAACUCAGUUUGGUACAUGAUCUAAUCUUGCCUCCGAAAUUCAAGGCGCCUGAUUUUGAAAAGUAUGUGGGACAAGGUGCCCAAUAGCACAUCUCAUCAUGUUCUGUCGAAAAAUGACCGGUUAUAUGAACGAGGAUAAGCUACUUAUACAUUGCUUUCAAGAUAGUCUAACAGGGUUAGCUCUUCGGUGGUACAACCAACUCAGUAGAGAAAAGAUUCGAUCCUGGAAGGACUUGGCGUCAGCAUUUUGCGAGCAGUACAAGCAUGUGUCAGAUAUGGUGCCAGACCGGAUGACCUUGCAAAUGAUGGAGAAAAAGCCAUCAGAAACCUUCAGACAGUAUGCGCAGAGAUGGAGAGACGUCUCGGCCCAAGUAGAACCCCCACUAACAAAAACGGAGAUAACCAUUCUCUUUAUCAACACCUUAAAGGCGCCAUUUUAUGACAAAUUAGUGGGAAGUGCCACGAAAGAGUUUACGGAUAUUGUAAUAUCUGGUGAGCUCAUAGAGAAUGCCGUCAAGAGCGGUAGAAUGGAAGGCUCAGAAGGUUCAAAAAGGGCAGCACCUAUGAAGAAAAAAGAACCAGAAGCCCGCAUGGUGGGAAUGGAAAGUCGUUAUGCCUCUAAUCCAUAUUCGAACCAACCCCGACCUCAAAAUUAUCCACCUCCAAAUUUUUAUUAUCCCCCUCACAACCCUUACUACCAAGCACCACCUCCUUCCUAUCCCGUUUACGCCACGAACAACCAAAGACCCAUCACCUCAUUCCCACAAAACACUAUACCCGCUCAAAGCCAACACAAAAAUGAACCAAGACCAGCAAGGCCCAAUCCUGAGAGACAGCAAUUCACCCCUAUUCCUGCGUCGUACGGGAAACUGUACCCAAAACUUCUGGAAAAGCAAUUAAUAUCUCCCCAUUACAUGGCACCCCUUAAACCUCUAUACCCGAAAUGGUACGAUCCAAAUGCUAGUUGUGCAUACCAUGCCGGGAACCAGGGGCACUCUAUGGAAAACUGCCUGGCCUUCAAAAGGAGAGUUCAAGAACUUAUCGAUGCGGGUAUUCUGUGAUUUGAUGGCACUGGCGGUACAUCCGGGAACCCAUUCCCAAAACACACCGAAAGGAAUGUGAGCGCAGUAGGAGAGGAGGACAAACGACAAAGUAGAAGACGGGUUUCUGAAAUAAGAACACCUCUGUAGAAAAUCUGGAAGGUGCUAGUUGAAAAGGGUUCGCUUUGUCAUCUUAACAGAAUAUUCGAGGGAAUGAAUACAAAAGAUCCAAGUUUUUGUGAAUUCCAUAGUAUUGAGGGGCACGAUAUUCAAUCCUGCAAAGAGUUCAGGAGAUUACUGCAAAAUAUGAUGGACAAUAAGGCGAUUGGGAUUUUUUAUAAAGGCGAAGAGGCCAAUGAGAAAGAAGUAUGUACCUCCGACAAUCAAUCGUCAGGUUGUCCGUAUAGUGACCGACCGUUAAUAAUUUAUUAUGACGCGAAGAAGGAACCAAUGAAACCAAAAGUGAUAAUCGAGGUACCAUCUCCUUUCCCCUACAAGGACAAUAAAGCAGUACCAUGGAAAUAUGACGUUAAUAUCGUCACACCUGAAGAUGAAAAACCCAAAGCCAUGACUGGAAGCGUUGGGGAAGUAGGUCAUUUCACUCGCAGCGGAAGAUGUUAUUCAAAAGAGGUCGGAUCAGUAAAGAACAGUGACUUGAAACAGAAAGGAAAAGCACCGAUGCAUGUGACUGAAGAUGAGUAUGAAACUGUGCCUGAACAAGAAGCUAAAAAACCUGUGGACGAGGAAGAAGCACAAGAAUUUUUAAAAUUUAUCAAGCACAGUGAGUACAACAUGGUAGAACAAUUGAGUAAGUAGCCAGCGCGAAUCUCGGUAUUAUCUUUGCUGUUGAAUUCAGAACCACACCGGAACGCUUUGCUGAAAGUGUUAAAUCAAGCUUAUGUGGCAAACAAUGUAUCCGUUGAAAAACUGGAUAGGUGGGUGAACAACAUGAAUGCAGAUAAUUUCAUUUCUUUUAAUGAUAAUGAAAUACCGCCCAAUGGUAGAGGCUCAGUGAAAGUAUUGCAUAUUACAACCCGUUGUAAGAGCUAUAUAAUACCGAAUGUGCUCAUCGACCAUGGAUUGGCACUCAAUGUCAUGCCUUUAGCCACACUUUCCAGGAUUCCGAUAGAUUUGUCCUAUCUAAGGCCUUGCCAUUCUACAGUAAGGGCAUUCGAUGGAACAAGACGAGAAGUUAUGGGAAAAAUUGAGAUCCCUUUAGAAGUGGGUCCCUACAUAUACAAUGUUGAGUUUUAAGUCAUGGACAUUACACCAUCAUACAAUUGUCUUUUGGGAAGACAUUGGAUUCAUUCUACUGGAGCAGUCCCAUCAUCCCUCCAUCAAAAGGUGAAAUUUAUCAUGGAUGGCUGUUUGGUCACUGUCGAGGGAGAUGAAUACAUUGUAGCAUCUAUUUCUGCCGACGCACCAUAUAUUGAAGUGAGUAAAGACGCUCUGGAAUGUUCCUUCCGAUCUCUUGAAUUUGUCAAUGCCACAUUCGUCGCUGAGGGAAACAGAAUUCCCGAGCCAAAACUGUCGAGAAAUACCAAGAUGGGUGUCAAGUUGACUGUAGGAAAGGGAGCCCGAGCAAGGAAAGGUUUGGGAAGGUACCUGCAAGGAAUAGUCAGGGCUCUAAAGCCAGUACAUCACAAGGCCCGAUACGGUUUAGGGUUCUAACCGGACAUGCGUCAAAGAAGAAAACAGUGGAAGAAGGAUCAGGAGAGAAGGAUCGCGAGAACUUUAGGCCGAGAAAUAGAAUGGGAGCCCAUAACGUGCCCUCCUUUGUCAAAAACAUUUACAUCUGUAGGAAUGAUAUACCCCAGACAGGAUAAUAUACAAAGCACGCUGUUAUUAAUUGAAAGGGGUCUUUAGAAUGUCAGUAUAAAUGUCAUUGACAAAGAAGCUAACGCAAGUAAAGACUUCUCAAAGAUAUGCCCUUGUCCCCUGGGUUUCAAGUUGAACAAUUGGACUGCCGAGGAUCUUCUUGUAGUUUAUAAGUCUUCAGAGUAAUGCUCAAACGUUAACAUUCUGUUAUGUCCUUAGAUAUAAUAGAAUUCUUUUGUAAGAGCCUGCAUUCGCUCUUUAUCAUUCAAAUGAAUAUCAAUGAAGAUGCAUUUCGUCAUAAUAUUUCACAUUAUCACUAAUUUCAUAAUCAUUUUCUCAUGUCAUAGCCAAUCCUUACAUUUGCCUCAUUCCAUGCCAUAACAUUUCGUUUAUUGGUUUCAAUACUUGGAUGCCCCUCUAUAGUUCCCUUUUUCAUUCAACUUUCAGGUGCUCAGAUGUCAACAGCAUGAGCAAACCCGUUACGAGUCUUGAAAUCAAUUUUGAGAAAGCUGUUUGUUUAGGAGAAUUCGAAGCCGAAGAAAACGCUGAAGACUAUGUCUCGUCUCCUGAUUUGCUAAGAAUGGUGGAACAAGAGGAUAAGCAGAUUUUGCCUCAUCAAGAAUCUGUUGAAAUAAUAAAUCUGGAAACUGAAGAAAGGAGGCAAGAAGUGAAUAUUGGGACUUCUAUUUCAAGGGGCACCAGGCAUAAUUUGAUUGCUUUGCUCCGCGAAUACAAAGAUGUAUUCGCAUGGUCAUAUCAGGACAUGCCAGGAUUGGAUGAAGAUGUAGCGGUCCAUAAGCUCCCAUUAAAGCCAGAAUGCAAGCCUAUUCAACAAAAGCUAAGACGGAUGAGGCCUGAGAUGUUGUUGAAGAUAAAAGAGGAAGUCAAGAAGCAAUUUGAUGCUGGCUUCUUACAAGCCUCCAAAUAUCCAAAAUGGGUGGCUAACAUAGUCCCGGUACCAAAGAAAGACGACAAAGUACGAAUGUGUGUGGAUUAUCGUGACUUGAAUCGAGCAAGUCCUAAAAAUAAUUUUCCCUUACCACACAUUGAUACGUUGGUGGAUAACACGGCAAAACAUUCAUUGUUUUCCUUCAUGGAUGGAUUCUCGGGGUACAAUCAGAUCAAAAUGGCCCCGGAAGAUAUGGAGAAAACUACCUUCAUAACGAUGUGGGGAACAUUCUGCUACAAGGUGAUGCCUUUUAGGUUAAAGAAUGCAGGGGCAACAUAUCAGAGGGCUAUGGUGACGUUAUUCCAUGAUAUGAUGCAUAAAGAAAUAGAGGUCUAUGUCGACGAUAUGAUUGCUAAAUCCCGAGGGGAAGAAAAGCAUGUAGUGAACCUGAAGAAGUUGUUCGACAGACUAAGAAAGUUCCAGCUAAAGCUCAAUCCGGCCAAAUGUACGUUUGGAGCUACCUCAGGAAAAUUGCUUGGUUUUAUUGUUAGUGAGAGAGGUAUUGAAGUUGAUCCAGAUAAAAUAAAAGCCAUUCAAGAGUUACCACCUCCGCGCACGCAAAAGGAAGUCAGAGGAUUUUUAGGGAGAUUAAACUACAUCGCCCGAUUUAUCGCUCAACUUACCGACCAAUGCGACCCAAUCUUUCGACUCCUUCGAAAACAUAAUCCCGGAGAAUGGAACGAGGAGUGCCAAGUGGCUUUUAACAAGAUAAAACAGUAUUUGUCUAGUCCUCCAGUACUAGUACCGCCAACUCCGGAAAGACCAUUAAUUUUGUAUCUGACAGUGUUCAAAAAUUCAAUGGGUUGCGUACUGGGGCAACAUGAUGAGUCAGGAAAGAAAGAAAAUGCGAUCUACUACCUCAGUAAAAAGUUCACUGAAUAUGAGGCAAAGUAUUCAUCCAUUGAAAAAUAUUGUUGCGCUCUGGUUUGGGUAGCUCAGAGACUCAGGCAAUACAUGUUGUAUCAUACGACAUGGUUAAUUUCAAAGCUAGAUCCAAUAAAGUACAUGAUGGAAUCACCUGCACUCUCAGGAAGAAUGGCACAGUGGCAGAUCUUACUAUCAGAGUACGACAUCGUCUAUGUGAGUCAAAAGUCAAUAAAAGGAAGCGCAAUAGCUGACUUUUUGGCGACCCGAACAAUGGAUGAAUAUGAGCCAUUGAGAUUUGAAUUCCCGGAUGAAGAUUUGAUGUGCAUUACAGAAAAAGAAUGCAAGUCACCAAAAGAGAAGUCAUGGAAGAUGAGCUUUGAUGGUGUAUCAAACGCAUUGGGGCACGGGGUUGGAGCAGUCUUAGUAUCACCAGAAGGGAACCAUUACCCACUCACUGCCAGGUUGAACUUCUUCUGUACUAAUAACAUAGUGGAAUAUGAGGCAUGUAUCAUGGGACUUCGUGCAGCUAUUGAACGAAACGUCAAAACUUUAGAGGUAUACGGAGACUCAGCCUUGGUGAUUUACCAAAUCCGUGGAGAUUGGGAAGUGAGAGACUCGAAAUUGAUUAAGUACAAUGAUUUAGUAGCUGAAUUGAUCAAAGAAUUCAAAGAAAUAACUUUUCAUUACUUCCCGCGAGAAGAAAACCAAUUGGCUGAUGCCCUGGCCACCUUGGCUUCAAUGUUCAAAUCAAGUAAAGAAGCAGAAAUAAUGCCCCUCAAAAUGAGCAUAUACGAGGUCCCUGCACACUGUUGUAGCAUUGAGAAAGAGGCAGACGGACGGUCAUGGUUCCAUGAUAUCUUAGAAUAUAUCAAGAAUCAAAGCUAUCCCGAACAAGCGAAUGAGAACGACAAAAGAACAAUCAGAAGAAUGGCAGCGGGAUUUGUUCUUGAUGGGGAUAUCCUGUAUAAAAGAGGAAAGGAUCAAGUACUUUUGAAAUGCGUGGAUGAUGUUGAAGCCAGAAAGAUACUUGAAGAUGUCCAUGAAGGAAUCUGUGGGACACAUGCCAAUGGUUUCAGUAUGGCCAGAAAGAUUAUGAAACUCGGUUACUACUGGUUGACGAUGGAAAGCAACUGCAUUAGUUUUGCCAGAAAAUGCCACAAAUGUCAAAUCUAAGGCGAUAAAAUUCAUGCAGCCCCUUCGCCCCUUCACGUCAUGACUUCUCCGUGGCCUUUUUCUAUGUGGGGCAUGGAUGUCAUAGGGCCUAUUUUCCCGAAAGCUUCUAAUGUACAUCGAUUCAUUUUUGUGGUCAUUGAUUACUUCACAAAAUGGAUAGAAGUCGCUUCGUUUGCCAAUGUGACCAAGACUGCAGUUUGCAGGUUUUUGAAGAAGGAAAUCAUUUGUCGAUACGGUUUGCCUGAAAGAAUCAUUUCAGAUAACGCCAUGAAUCUGAAUAACAAGAUGAUGAAGGAAGUAUGCGAGCAAUUCCAAAUAAAGCAUCAUAACUCCUCGCCCUAUUGCCCAAAGAUGAACGGGGCUGUUGAAGCAGCCAAUAAAAAUAUUAAGAGGAUCAUUGGGAAAAUGACUGAGACGUUUAAAGAUUGGCACGAGAAGCUUCCAUUUGCUUUGUUUGCAUAUCGCACAUCUGUGCGAACAUCUACGGGAGCAACUCCUUUCUCUCUGGUUUAUGGAAUGGAAGCUGUGCUACCUAUCGAGGUUGAGAUCCCUUCUCUACGAGUCUUAAUGGAAUCAAAGUUAGAAGAAGCAGAAUGGGUACAAGCUCGAUAUGAUCAGCUGAACCUCAUUGAAGAAAAGCGUCUCAGGGAAAUUUGUCACGGGCAGAUGUACCAAAAAAGAAUGAUAGCAGCCCAUGACAAGAAGGUACGACCAAAAGAAUUCCAUGAAGGAGAACUCGUACUGAGAAAAAUUCUCCCAAUACAAAAAGAUCUGCGAGGGAAAUGGGCACCAAACUGGGAAGGACCGUACGUCGUAAAGAAGGCAUUCUCAGGAGGAGCUUUGAUCCUUACCGAGAUGGAUGGGAAAGAGUUGUCGAAUCCAGUGAACUCAGAUGCUGUGAAGAAAUAUUAUGCUUAAGAUGAAAACCCGAAAAAGGCAUCUUGAUUAGUACAAAAAGAUUAGGAUGAAAACCCGAGAGGGCGUCCUAAUGAAACAAACCUGACGGUCGAACGAUAGGUCAAGCAGUGAGGCUACAGUAUUUGAAGCAUUUUUGAAAGCUCGAAAUCUUCUACGCAAGAAGCCGCGCUCGAAAAGAUUUUUGAUUGAGGAACGAGGAAGAGUUCAUGUGUUGAAUAUCUAGAGCAUUUGUAUCUGUUGAAUACGAUCAUUUCUUUCUUUUUGACAUUUUUUACUCUCAUUGGUUAACUUGCUUUGUUUGCCACAUUUGAAAUAGAUGAAUAUGAAAUAUCAUUUUUGUCCCUAUCUGACCUUUUUCAUGCAUCUCAUUAUGUGUUUAUUUACAUGAUCAAUGGUGAAAUGACAUACUCUAAACAAAAGAAAUGUUAAGCAUUACCUGGAUGAAACUUUGAUAAGCACAAGAGUCUCAAAGUAAGAACAAAGUUCAAUCGGGGGCAGAAGAGUGAUAUCUGAGAAACGUCGAUUACUCGUGAAGCUUGAAGACAGGUAUAAGGCCUAAAGAGAAAGUCGAGAAUCAAAGCAAUGAACACAGAUCCUCAACAAUCGUGGCUAAAUGGACAUCCGACAAACAUGCUUAAGGAGCACUGCAUAAUCAUGUAGGCAUAAAAGCAUUUAAGACAAACAUGUGCAUAUCAUGAUAACAUCAUACAUGGCAUAUACAGGUACCCCAGCAGAGCAAGAAAUCUUGAAUGAGAGUCGCACUGAAUCAAAGGAAAAGACACCCGAGUUCUACCAAAGGACAGGUUUUGGUAUUUUGAUGUUUUUAAUUCAUGCUUUUCAAGGGAAAUCAACUCAUAUUGCGAGAGAUGAGUUGAGCCUCAAGACAUAUUGAGGUAUUUUUAAUUUUUGUUUUCAAAAUCAACUCAUAUUGCGAGAAGUGAGUUGAGCCUCGGGGCACGCUGAGGUAUUUUUAGUUUAUGUUUUAAAUUGACUCAUAUUGCGAGAGGUGAGUUAAGCCUUUUAAUUUUUGUUUUUCAAAAUCAACUCAUAUUGCUAGAGGUAAGUUGAGCCUCGGGGCACGCUGAGGUAUUUUCAAUUUUUGUGUUUUAAUUUCAACUCAUAUUGCGAGAGGUGAGUUGAGCCUCAGGUCACGCUGAGGUAUUUUCAAUUUCUGUUUUCAAUUUACGUUGUUUAAGAAUCAACUCAUAUUGCGAGAGGUGGGUUGAACCUUUUAAUUUCUACUUUUUCAAAAUCAGCUCAUAUUGCGAGAGGUGAGUUGAGCCUCAGGUCACGCUGAGGUAUUUUCAAUUUCUGUUUUCAAUUUACGUUGUUCAAGAAUCAACUCAUAUUGCGAGAGGUGGGUUGAACCUUUUAAUUUCUACUUUUUCAAAAUCAGCUCAUAUUGCGAGAGGUGAGUUGAGCCUCAGGUCACGCUAAGGUAUUUUCAAUUUCUGUUUUCAAUUUACGUUGUUCAAGAAUCAACUCAUAUUGCGAGAAGUGAGUUGAACCUUUUAAUUUCUACUUUUUCAAAAUCAGCUCAUAUUGCGAGAGGUGAGUUGAGCCUCAGGUCACGCUGAGGUAUUUUCAAUUUCUGUUUUCAAUUUACGUUGUUCAAGAAUCAACUCAUAUUGCGAGAAGUGGGUUGAACCUUUUAAUUUCUACUUUUUCAAAAUCAGCUCAUAUUGCGAGAGGUGAGUUGAGCCUCAGGUCACGCUGAGGUAUUUUCAAUUUCUGUUUUCAAUUUAUGUUGUUCAAGAAUCAACUCAUAUUACGAGAGGUGGGUUGAACCUUUUAAUUUCUACUUUUUCAAAAUCAGCUCAUAUUGCGAGAGGUGAGUUGAGCCUCGAUUCACAUGCUGAGGUAUUUUCAAUUUCUGUCUUUCAAAAAAAAAAUUCAACUCAUAUUGCGAGAAAUGAGUUGAGCCUCAAGACACGUUGAGGUAAUUUCAAUUUCUGUUUUCAAAAUUCAACUCAUAUUGCGAGAAAUGAGUUGAGCCUCAAGACACGUUGAGGUAAUUUCAAUUUCUGCUUUCAAAAUUCAACUCAUAUUGCGAGAAAUUAGUUGAGCCUCAAGACAUGCUGAGGUAUUUUCAAUUUCUAUUUUUCAAAAAAAAAAUCAACUCAUAUUGUGAGAAAUGAGUUGAGCUUCAAGACAUGCUGAGGUAUUUUCAAUUUCUGUUUUUCAAAAAAAUCAACUCAUAUUGCGAGAGGUGAGUUGAGCCUCAGGACACGCUAAGGUAAUUUCAAUUUCUGUUGCCAAAAAAAUCAACUCGUAUUGUGAGAGGCGAGUUGAGCCUUAGGUCACACGCCGAGGUAUUUUCAAUUUCCGUUUUUCAAUUUCUGCCUUUCAAAAAAAAAUCAACUCAUAUUGCGAGAGGUGAGUUGAGCCUUGGCUCACGCGCUGAGCUAUUUUCAAUUUCUGUCUUUCAAAAAAAUCAACUCAUAUUGCAAGAGGUGAGUUGAGCUUUAGAUCACACACUGAGGUAUUUUUUCAAUUUAUAUUUUUCAAAGAAAUCAACUCACAUUGCGAGAUGUGAGUUGAGCCUCGGGUCACAUGUCGAGGUAUUUUCAAAAUCUGUUUUUCAGAUUCUGCUUUCAAAAAUCAACUCAUAUUGCGAGAAGUGAGUUGAGCCUUGGCUCACGUGCUGAGCUAUUUUCAAUUUCUGUUUUUUUUUCAAAAAAAUUCAACUCAUAUUGCGAGAGGUGAGCUGAGCUUUUUAAUUUCUGCGAGAGUUGAGUUGAGUCUUUUAAUUUCUGUUUUUCAAAAAUCAACUUAUAUUGCGAGAGGUGAGUUGAACCUUCAGUCACAUAUCGAGGUAUUUUCAAAAUCUGCUUUUCAAGUUAAGUUUCAAAAAAUCAACUCAUAUUGCGAGAGGUGAGUUGAGCCUUGGCUCACGUGCUGAGCUAUUUUCAAUUUCUGUUUUUAAUGUCUGUUUUUAGAGAGUCAAUUCAUAUUGCGAAAAAUGAAUUGAGCUCAGGAUCACAUGCCGAGUAGAGAAUAAAGAUUGAAGCUGAUUGAAGAUGUCAGAUUCUGUCUCCUUAAAGUUGCAGUGGAGUUGAUCGAGGGUAUCAGAUAUUGCCUUUCUGGAGUCGCAGAAGAAAAGACCACAAACCUUAUCUCACUGAAGCGAUAGAAGAGUAUAUUGAAGUUGUAGAUCUCACCUUUCUGAAGUUACAGCGAAGUAGAUCGAAGCCAUACAUUUCAUAUCCUUGAAGUUACAUCGGAAUAAAUUGAAGCUACAAGGCGUAUAUCACAAGAUGCAGUGGAGUGAACCAAAGCUACAAGAUGCGGUGGACUGAAAAGGGACUAACUAAAUAAGAAGAGUUCCAAAGCAAGUCAAGACCUAGCAAGACCGGGCAAAUUUGGUCUUCCUUGAAAGUCUUUGCUUUAUUAUCGUUGCACGACAAUGAGCAAAGAGGGGCAGCUGUAGAAGCCCAAAUUGCCCGGGCCUGAUUAUAUCAAAACCCAACCAAACCUCUAAACCCACUAAAACCCUUAACCCAUAACCCAUUUACAUCUACCCAAACCCAUUACAAAACCCAAAUAUUAAACCCAAUUCAAAAGCCCAUUAAGCCCCCAUCCAAAAAAAACCUAACCCAAAAAAAAAAAACUAACCCCCCAAAAAAAAAACCAAGAAACCCUAGCCACCUAGCCACUUUCCCAUUUGCCCCAUUUUUCCUCCCAUUUUUGAUAUUCAUUGUCUACCACCAUCACCUACAAAAUAGAAAAAGAAAUAAUAGAAAAUCAUGUAAAAGAUGGCUAUAAAAAGUCAUUCAAAAUCAUGUAAAGAGGGGGAUUUUACAAAGAUUGAAAAAAAAAACACAAAAAUCCCUUCAAAUUUUGAACACAAAAGAAACAUCAAUAAAAAUGUUGCAUCUUUUUCUUUUCUCCUCUUCUUCCGAAUCUUUUUUUUUCUUUUUUUUGUUGUUUUUUUUUCUUUCUUUAUAUAUACAUAUAUUGUUAAAAAAAAUUUACCUUUUCCGGCCACCGUGGGCGGUGGCCGGCGGUGGCCGACGACGGGCGGCGAUCGACGAUCGACCGGUGACCGGCCCCCCUUGGCCGGAUUUCCUUUCCCCCCUCCCUUCUCUCUUCUUUCCCUCUUCUUUUUUUUAGGUAUUUUAUAUAUAUUAUGUAUAUAUUUUUUAAUGCCAUUAGUUAUAUAUUUCUUAUGUAUAUAUUCUUAAAUACUAUUAUAUACAUAUAUAUAUAUAUUUUAAAUACCAUAUUGUGUAUAUAUUAUUAUUACAAAUUAUUACUAUUGCUAGUAUUAUUAUAACUAUUAUUAUAUUAGUGUAUAUUUUAUGUACAUAUGUAUAUAUAUAUUUUUGUACAUAUCAUUAUUUUAUAUUAUUGUUGUAAAUUUUUUAUGUAUAUAUUUUUUAUGUACGUUUCCUAAUAUUUUCUUUUAUUGUAGAUAUUAUUAUUAUUAUUACAUACUUUUAUUAUAUGCAUAUAUAUAUGUAUUUUUAUGUACAUAUUAUUAUUUUAUAUUAUUAUUACCAAAUAUAUCAUUUUUCCUAUUUUAUUAUUAGUACAUGAUUUGUUUUUAUUUUGUAAAUAUCAUUAUUAUUGUUAUUCUAAUAUUCUAGUAUUCCAUGUUAAUAUUUUUCAUUAAUGAUAUCAUUUUUUUGCGUCCUUUAUCUAUUUUUAAUUUCUCACUUUAGGAAUAUUUUUUUCUCAUGUUUUAAUUAAUUUAAAAAAUAAGGCAAUGUACCGAUUUAAUAUUAAGCCAUCGAUUUCAUCGCUAUGUUGGGUGAAAUUCGUCGGCUUGUGUUAAUAAACGGGACACCCUUUCUUAAAAAAAAAUCGAAAACUAAAAAUUCUCAUUUUUCAAUCGGAUCACGAUUAAAUAUUAUAUUGAACUCGUAUUUUUGAAAAUCAAGUCAACAAAUGUUUAUGAGAUACCAAUUUUGGGCGUCGCGAGGGUGCUAAUACCUUCCUCGCGCGUAACUGACUCCCGAACCCCAAUUUUUCUCUGAACUUUCACGUAGACCUAAAUUUGGCCUUCUUUUUGUUUUAAAAUAAUUUUAUUAGGUGUCCGAUCACACCUAUAAAAAAGGAUCGGUGGCGACUCCCUUUGCUAAUAAAAUCAAAAGUUGGUUUUCAAAUGUUUAAUAAAUCGCCACAAUUAGCGACCAAGCGAAACUAAAUUUUUUUUACGUCGCUACAAAUAGCAGACAGUCAUCAAAUUCAAUCUAAAAUUUUCAAUUAAAAUCAUUUGUUCACUAUACCCAUUUAACCAAUAACUCAUAAUCACAUUUCUGAACUUUGCAGACCUGCUGUAGAGAAGUAAGUUUAACAUUUAUUUUAACUAGAAUUGAGCCAUCAUCAGAUAAUGACAAUCGAAUGUUCAUAGCUCAUAACACAAAGCAAAACUUUUAAUUCUGAGUAUACAUAACUUCAUAUGCCUUCCCUGAACAAUAAUCAAUUAUCAAAUCAUGAUCUCUUAAUGCGAAGACAAUAGCUACCACUUUCAAGUCAUGUAUCAAAUAAUUCUUUCUAUAUAAUUCCAACUUUCUGAAAACAUAAACCGUUAAUUCACUUUCUUGCAUCAAACACUACUAUCCCUGUAAAUCACAAGUUCCUUUACCGGAUUUCGGACUAAACCAGAACUAGUGUUUCGGUUAACUGAAUUUUCAACUAAUCAAAACUUUACUGACAUUUAUCAGACCAUUCCAAUUCCACAUCUUUCUAUAAUAACCGUAUCAUCCAAAAAAUCUUUUUUUCUUUUUUCUUUUUUUUUUCAAAUUUCUGAUAAUAACCGACUAGUCUCAGAAAACCAUUAUUUCAGAUAUAAUUUCAGUAUCAUUUCAAUCACAAGAUCUAUAGCAAAUUCAGCUUCUUUAAUCAACAGUAAUUUAGGUAAUUCUUCUAAAAACAUAUCAUAAUUGUCACAUACUAUUGCCACUGAUUUUUUUUUUACUUUACUUUGACUCAGAAACUUUAAUACCCAAUUCAUAAGUAAAGUAAGUACUAUAACAUUUUCCGGCACAUUUCUGUGUUGACAUGAUUAAUAUCAUAAUGGACAAAUCAUUCAAUCUUUUCUGAUUCAAAACAAAACAUUUCAUCAUCCCAACUUUACAAUAUAAUAUACUUCUGUUUAUAUUUUGCCACAGUAUCAUGCAAAAUUAACCAUUCCAUUCUCAGAGUCACGUCAAACAAUAAUAUCAUCAAAUUAAUCAAAAAAAUAGCACCUUAAUAUCAUUAUCAGACACUUCCCACAAAUUUUAUCAACCAAUAAAUAUUGAUCUGGAAAAUUUGAUACUUCUACCAAAAAUUCAACGAACUCAACAGGCAAAUCCUUAGUAGAACUGAAUUCAUGCAACCAUUGGAAUAAUCAAACCAAAAGCAAUUUAAAAUAAUUAUAUCAAUAUCGAUAAAGAAGAAAGUACCUGGAAUGACAUCCGGUAGAGAACUAUCCUCUUCUACACGAUUAAUAUAUAUAUACCUUGGCUGAUAUUCAUUCUCCAAAUUUUACAGUGAAAUCCUGUCACACUUCGACUAUCACUCUCAUUUCUGGGUUACAGAGUAAUCUACCUCUGAUAACUGUGGUACUCGGUCUUGAAUUCUGAAUAAUAUCUUUUCAACUUUCUUCGAACAAUCACUAAAAUAAUAAUCAAAAGAAUCAUAUCUAACUCAUAUCCCAUUCUUUAUUCUACAUUCUUCGGCUUUUGUCUUCAUCUAAACCAUUUUCAAACCAUUUGUAUAUCAUAGUUUCUAUCGGAAUACACCCUCUGAUAUAUUUAUUCAAUCAAAUAAUUUCAAUUCAAACAUAAUUGCGGGUAUAUUACUCUGUUUAAAAUUUAAAAAUUCCUUCGUAUCUCUGAUCAAGAAAUCUCUGACUGAUAUAUAUAUUUCUUUCAAAACUCAUUUCAGAAAAUUUCCAAAUAACCCUUUCAUACAUAAUCACAACAUUAAUCAAUAUUUUCAUCACUGGCAGACUAAAUCUUUUAGUAGAAAUAUCAUACCUUUUUAACAUUUAUUCGGCGAGCAAAACAAUUCAUUUAUAACCCUGAUAUAAUACUCUCUAACUAGAUUUCAGUUCUUUUCAAAAUCAAUUUCAACUAUAAUUCCCAAUUCUUUCACACUAUAUUUACGGAGUAUUUAACAACAGAUACUUACCCGUUCCGAUGAGUUCUAUACUUUGAAGCACUUCGGGAACCGAUUGAGAAACAGGAGAGGCAAUUAUCGUAAUAGAUAUAAUUUCUUAUAUUCACUAAAAAGCAUCAGUUAUAAUUCUAAACAUUAUGUAUUAUCUCUUUCUCUAUUAUUUCAUCAUUCAACAUUCACUAACUAAUUACUCAUUGAAUAAAUACUCAGUAUUACCGAUUCAGUUUUCAUCUAAUUCACGAGACUUUUCGUUUUCAGUAUACAUUUCAUAAUCAAUACUAUCAAUAUAUUCUUCUAACAUUUUCACUAUAAAACAGAAGCAAACAAAUAUAUCAGCAUCCGAUCCCGAUUCAAUUUCAACUUAACUUUGGCAUGUACCUCUAAACUCAAUUCCGAGCUUGAUUUAGUCCGAGAAUCGGAUAAACCUGAUAGCUCUGAUACCAACAAUUGUAACACCCCCUAACCCUAAACCAUCACCGGAAGAGAAUUAUGGAGCAUUACCGGAGUUUACAGAAUAAUUACACACAAUUCCAUUAUUUUCUUAUGUUCAUGUCAAAGCUGUCUUCUUGAGCAAUAGUCACUAAAAUAUUUAUAUCUGGAGUUACGAAGCUCCAAAUUAAGUUCCGUUAAUUUUUCUUGAAACUAGACUCAUAUACCUUUCUACCAUAAAAAUUUCAGAAUUUUUGGUUCAGCCAAUUAGUACAGUUUAUUCCUCAAAGUUACCCCUAGUCUGCUAUUUGACAGCUUCGACCUUUCUUUACUAAAAUUUAAUUAUCUCAUAGCACAGGACUCGGGUGAUGUUCCCAUUUAUUUAUCUUGAAAAUAGACUCAUUAAGGAUUCUAAGAAUAUAAAUUAUAGCCCAUAAUUAUUUUUAUACAAUUUUUAAUGAUUUUCCCAAUUCAAAAUAGGGUAUUCCAAAAUCAAUCUGACAUUGUCUCAUAAAAAUUCAAAUUCAUACCAAAUUAUUAAAAUCCUAUUUUAUACCAUAACCAAACCUUAAAUUUAUUUAUUUCAUCCUUACAUUUACAAUUUCAAAAUGACACACACAUAAGGCAUCCUAGGUACAUGCCAUUACCCAUAAUUAACACACUUUACCUCAUUGAAUUUGGGAUCGGCCUGAGAUGCUGAUUCAACGUUCUAUCUUUACUUAACCUGCGCACGGAAACAAACCGUAUGCUGAGUAUGGUAUACUCAGUGGUAUUUCCAUAAUCCGAACACUUAAUAACAUAACAAUUAAACUUAAAGUAACAAUAACAAUUAUAAGUAUUCAUUUAUUUAUUUUAUAGAUGAAUUUCAUUUACUUACCGUAUAAAUUCUAUACAAUAUAUUCACAAUUCACUUGUAUUCACACUUUACUUCUUAACAAUAUAUCAUUUUAAUUCAUUCUAACAUCAAUCAUCAUCCAUUUGAACUUCACUCAUUUCAUGAACCUUUUGGUUCAUGUUUUCAAUCUCAUAUCUCAAUUUCAAUUCUCAAUUCAAUUUCUCAUUUCAUUCUAAUAGCUCAAUCAAUCAAAUUCACUCGAUUUAUCUUUUCACUUAUUUACCCCUAUUAACAAGACUCGGACUCUGAUAGAUACGCGGAUUCCUCCCAAACACACUAGAAUAUCCAACCCAAACACACCCGGAAUAUUAUAAAUCCUUCAUAACACACCAGUAUAUCAUAUCCUCCCAAACACACCAAUAAGGCAUUAAAUGCCUCUUCGGAUAAACCGAAGUAUAUAAUAACAGAAACAUCUUCUCGGCCGAACUACAAAUCUCCUCAUCACAUCACAAACCCAAUGGCAUGCCAUUUGUAUCCAAUCUGGUCCAAUACUGUUAAUAGGGUAUUUGAUUCACUUUCUCAAUUUAAUGAAUCUUUCAUCAAUAUACCAUUCUAAUAAUCACAUAUAUUCACACAUUUUCACAAUUUCAUACAUUUUCAUUCAAUUCAACAAAUAUAUUUCAAUUAUUCACAUUAAUUCAUAAUCCAAUACAACUCAAUUCACUUUUCAAUAUCAAAUAUUCAAUUAUCACAAAUCUCAUAUAUUCAUAUCAAUUCCCUCAUAUUUCCAAUCAAUAUAAUUUUUCAAUAUAACAUUCAUUCAAUAUUCAAAUUUUUACAUAGAUCAUAUAUAUAUAUAUAUAUAUUAUAAUUUCAAUCAAUAUAAAUUCAAUCAAAAUGAUUUCAAUCAAUAUAAAUUUGAUAAAUUCAUCACAUACCAAAAUCAAUCCAGUUCAAUUGUAAAACAUCAUAAUUCUAACACUAACAAUUGUCAUAUGUAUAUAAAUAUAACAAAUAAUGACUGAUUUCGGAUUAUAGAAAUACAAACCGUAUUUUUCGAGCUUUUCCAAGCUUUUCCUCGUCGACUUUGCUAUUUCCUUACUUAGCCGAAACUUCUCGAGACAACGUUAGCUACGAAAAUUAAAACAAUUUAUAUUCAUUAAUUCACUACUAAUUUAUAUCUAAUUAAUUGAAUUUUCUAUUCAAUUUUCUACUUUAAUUUCAAUUUAAUCUUAACUAAUUUUCAAUUACGUUUCUAAUUCAAUUCACAUUCUAUUUCUAUUCAAAUUUCAUCCAUACUCUCAUUUAAAUAUUAAAUUUCCAGCAUAUUUUCCUAAUUUCAAAUUUUCAUCAAUUUAGUUCCUACAACAUAAAACUUAUAACUUACUUUACAAUUUGAUCCUAUUAUCAAUUCUAACUUGAAAUUCACUCAAUUAAACCCUUAAUUCACUAUUUUAUUCAACAUGAACUAUACUUGAAAAACUAUAAACUCUCAAAAUAUCAACUUAAUUUCAAUAAAACCUUGUUUUAAAGCUUCUAAAACAUCAAAUUUAAGAGGAAAUGACUUAAUUAACUUACCAAAUUAAACUUCAAGCAUCAAACCUUAUAUUUUCCCCUUUUUUCUUUCUUUUCUUUCUUUCCUUCCUUCCCUCUCUGUUUCGUUUCUACUAUUCUGUUUCUUCCCUUCUUCUCUUUUUUUUUC